GUUGUUCAUGUAUUGAUGGUGUUCAGCACCAAGGACAGGCUUAGUUGCUCAUGUAUUAAUGGUGUUCAGUACCAAGGACAGGCUUAGUUGUUC
This 93-nucleotide microRNA precursor is filed under the name Branchiostoma floridae (Florida lancelet). Its description in RNAcentral is "mir-2060 microRNA precursor family". It matches the Rfam family "mir-2060 microRNA precursor family". Lineage: Eukaryota; Metazoa; Chordata; Leptocardii; Amphioxiformes; Branchiostomatidae. The record is from Rfam by way of RNAcentral.